This 408-nucleotide ribosomal RNA is filed under the name uncultured bacterium. RNAcentral describes it as "partial 16S ribosomal RNA". It matches the Rfam family "Bacterial small subunit ribosomal RNA", at positions 28 to 526 of the family's 1533-position model. The record is from RNAcentral.
GACGAACGCUGGCGGCGUGCCUAAUACAUGCAAGUCGAGCGAAGCGGCGGAUGGGUGAGUAACGCGUGGUCAACCUGCCCUAAAGUUUGGGAUACAAUUUGGAUACAGAUGCCAAUACCGGAUACUAAAGGCGCGACCUUCCAUGCAUUAGAUAGUUGGGAAGGUAACGGCUAACACGGGCGAUGAUGCAUAGCCGAGUUGAGAGACUGAGCGGCAACAUUGGGACUGAGAAACGGGCCAAACGCCUACGGAAGGCAGCAGUAGGGAAUCUUCGAAAAUGACCGAAAGUCUGAGGGAGCAACGCGGCGUGAGUGAAGAAGGUUUUCGGAUGGUAAAGCUCUGUUGUUGGUGAAGCGGUAAUGAACCAGAAAGUCACGGCUAACUACGUGCCAGCAGCCGCGGUAAUUC